RNAcentral lists this ribosomal RNA (459 nucleotides) under uncultured bacterium. RNAcentral describes it as "partial 16S ribosomal RNA". It matches the Rfam family "Bacterial small subunit ribosomal RNA", at positions 338 to 795 of the family's 1533-position model. The record is from RNAcentral.
CCUACGGGUGGCAGCAGUGAGGAAUAUUGGUCAAUGGGCGCGAGCCUGAACCAGCCAAGUAGCGUGAAGGAUGACUGCCCUACGGGUUGUAAACUUCUUUUAUAAAGGAAUACAGUGAGGCACGUGUGCCUUUUGUAUGUUCCUUUUUAAUUAAGAUUCGCUAACUCCGUUACCGCAGCCACGGUAAUUCGGAGGAUCCGAGCGUUAUCCGGAUUUUUUGGGUUUAAAGGGAGCGUAGAUGGGUUGUUAAGUCAGUUGUGAAAGUUUGCGGCUCAACCGUAAAAUUGCAAUUGAUAAUGGCAGUCUUGAGUACAGUUGAGGUAGGCGGAAUUCGUGGUGUAGCGGUGAAAUGCUUAGAUAUCACGAAGAACUCCGAUUGCGAAGGCAGCUUACUAAACUGCCACUGACAUUGAUGCUCGAAAGUGUGGGUAUCAAACAGGAUUAGAUACCCCAGUAGUC